GCGCAGUUAGCUCAGCUGGAUAGAGUGUCGGCCUCCGAAGCCGAAGGUCACUGGUUCGAAUCCAGUACUGCGCA
RNAcentral lists this transfer RNA (74 nucleotides) under Acidithiobacillus marinus. RNAcentral's name for it is "Acidithiobacillus sp. SH tRNA". It matches the Rfam family "tRNA". From Rfam's summary of the family: Transfer RNA (tRNA) molecules are approximately 80 nucleotides in length. Their secondary structure includes four short double-helical elements and three loops (D, anti-codon, and T loops). The record is from Rfam by way of RNAcentral. Lineage: Bacteria; Pseudomonadati; Pseudomonadota; Acidithiobacillia; Acidithiobacillales; Acidithiobacillaceae.